CCUGAUCUCUUGAUUUCACCUCAUAUCAUUAAUGAAAAUUUUGAUUUGUUGCUGAAAAUUUUAAUUCUUGAAAUGUUUGUUUUAAAUCUUCCUUUUUAAUGUUGUCCUGCUUGCUAAUUAUCUUUUGUUAGAAAGAAAAAGUCAUUAACAGAAAAUAAUAAAAGAUUUGUACAAUCAGAGGUUUAAAGGGUGAGAAAUCCUUAAACAUAAAGCCAAAAAUAUAUAAAACAACUGUACAAACCUGGCACACUGAAAUGCAAAGACAGAAUACAACCCCUGCAUGGCCAGUCCACAAAUUCUUGCCUCUUGGGCCAGGCCUUAGAGGCUAGCAGGUCCCCUAUGAGGAAAUCUGGCAUUCAGGUUCCCCUCUAGCCAAGGAUCUGCUGCAUGCUUUUUGUUCCUACCCAACCACCCAACGAUUGCUCCACUUCUAGCAAUGUAAUCUGUAAUCUCCUGCAUAUUUUACCCAUAACACCAAGAACCUAAUUCUGUCUCUGUAAGGGAAUAAUGACUGCGUCUGGUCUCUGUAAGGGAAUAAUGACUGCGUCUGCCUUAUCCCGCUGCACAUAACAAUCCCUUAGCCCAUUGUGUCCCUGGCCAUUCUUAAUGCCCCUAAAAGCUUGUGUUUCAGGCAAAACCUUUCCCUGUUGGUUUUGUCAGGUAAAUAGAAUGUCCCUGUUACUCUCUCAGUCCUGCCACUAUCAACUCUACCAAUGGUCCUGGAUUGUCCAGAUUAACAUUCAUACUGCUAUAUCUGGCCUUGAAAGUGGUGCAUUGGAACAUUUUGCUGCUGAUCUAAGGCCUACUUUUGACAGUCUACUUUUAACAUAUUUCAUCUGAAGUCCUAAUGUUCGGAAUGGUAGAGCAUUUCCAUUAACUAUCUUAUGCUUGAUUUUUUUCAGCUUUUGGCUUAUGUUGCAUCGCUGUGGAUAGAAGUAUAGAACCUAAGAUGCUAAUCUUACACAAAUUCAGAUAAUUUGAUUUUAUUCAAUGCCAUCAUUUAUUGCACACUCAAAUUUGCAAAAUGGGUAUCAAUAAACAGUAAUAGAGCCUUAUGAAUUGCAUAUGACUAAUGCUAUUCUCUCUGAAAGGUUAUCCAAAGUGUGUAGAAUGCUUUAAAGGGUAAUACUUAAUGUUUUAAAAACCGGACCGGACCGGCCGGUCUGACCGGUCCAACCGUCGACCGGCCAUCAUUCCGGUUCGGUCCGGUCAUUUGGACCGGAUUGAGAUCGAACCGGAGUUGAACCGCUCAAACCGGCGGUUCAACCGGUGAACCGGACGAACCGGCCGGUUCCAAGGGAACCGGCUGAUUCAAAUAAUUUUAAUUUUUUGAAAAAAAAAUUACAAAAUAAAACUAUUACCCUCUCAUUGCAUGAAAGGAAGGAUUCCAUGUUGGGCCUGUCUUAUGACACAGCCCACAUGCCCACUCCAAUUAUUGUGGGCUUUUUUUUGAGCCCACAAGACCAUGCCAAGCCUUAGCUGAGGAUGGCUUUUAUAGGAGUCAUUUGACCCCUUGUUUCUCUCAUUUUCCGAUGUGGGAUUGCUUUAAUCAAUGAAAAAAAACAUAACAAAACUCCACAAGAGGAUUUGAACCUUGGACCAAUCCUUAACUAUAAUCCACCUAAGACACCACUCGGCUACAUGUGUUUUAUUAUCUCAUAUGCCAAACAAAACAAUAUAUAUUAGAUUUUAAAUUUUUUUAUAAUAUUAAAUAAAAAUAAUAUAAUAUUUUUAAAAAUUAUGAAAUUAGUUUAAAUUUUCAUUUUUUAUAUAUUCACAUUUAAAUAUUAUACAUAUUUCAUUUAAUAAAAUUUAAAAUAUUAAUAUGAUUUAAUUUGAUAAUAUCAAAGAUAUAAAAUAAUAUUAUUGAUGUUUAAUUUAUUCAUAUAUAUUUUAAAAUUUUUAUAAUUAUUUUUA
Molecule: long non-coding RNA, 1917 nt
Filed under: Vitis vinifera (wine grape)
Lineage: Eukaryota; Viridiplantae; Streptophyta; Magnoliopsida; Vitales; Vitaceae
Description: long non-coding RNA (VVIN_LNC003223)
Source: RNAcentral